RNAcentral lists this small RNA (72 nucleotides) under Salmonella enterica. Its description in RNAcentral is "partial RtT sRNA". It matches the Rfam family "RtT RNA", at positions 1 to 72 of the family's 130-position model. Rfam says of the family: This family represents a bacterial cis-regulatory element known as RtT RNA. The exact function of RtT is unknown although it is thought that it may be involved in changing the cellular response in relation to amino acid starvation. The record is from RNAcentral. RNAcentral also lists the same sequence under 1 other name. Lineage: Bacteria; Pseudomonadati; Pseudomonadota; Gammaproteobacteria; Enterobacterales; Enterobacteriaceae.
AUAUCUUUCUGUACGGGAAGGAUGAGAAGCUUCGACUAAGGUUCGAUUCGAGCGCAGCGAGAAAGCGUUGCC